AGAACCAAUCAGGAACGCAGGGUGAGAGGAAUGAGCCAAUCAGGAGCACAUGUAGGGAGAGGGUGGAAUAUCAGAGCCACAUCUGGGAGGAAAAACAAACAAAAAUAAAGUGAACACGGAGGCACUGGCAACGUCUCGCUCAAGGAAACGUUCAAAGGAAGACUUACAGUAGGAAAAAGUCACCGCAGAGGGAUGUUAUUUCUCGGACAGAGGAGGCCUCGAUCGGUGGGAUAAAACCUCAGAAUAAGGAAGGAUUAAGGAUAAAUAUUGGCCAGGACACUGAGACAUGCUUCUUUGAGAUGGUGCUACGUGAUCUUUUGCAUCUACCUGAGACGGCAGAUGAGACCUGAGCUUAAUAUCCGAUCCAAAAGAUGGUACUUCUGACAAAACAACGCUUACUCAGUGCUGUACCUAAGAGUCAGUCAAAUUUUUUGUUCAAAUAUGUCUUUCAGCUGGCAGAUCUACCUCACUAGUCAUGACGUGAAAAUUGCUCUUCAUGUAAAGAUUUAGAAAUUAAAGGAAAACUUGCA
Long non-coding RNA from Stegostoma tigrinum, 530 nucleotides. RefSeq lists it as uncharacterized. Lineage: Eukaryota; Metazoa; Chordata; Chondrichthyes; Orectolobiformes; Stegostomatidae. The transcript is spliced from 2 exons. The record is from RefSeq and is a predicted model, not a curated record.